RNAcentral lists this ribosomal RNA (433 nucleotides) under uncultured bacterium. RNAcentral describes it as "partial 16S ribosomal RNA". It matches the Rfam family "Bacterial small subunit ribosomal RNA", at positions 29 to 507 of the family's 1533-position model. The record is from RNAcentral.
AACGAACGCUGGCGGCAUGCCUAACACAUGCAAGUCGAACGAGACCUUCGGGUCUAGUGGCGCACGGGUGCGUAACGCGUGGGAACCUGCCCUUAGGUUCGGAAUAACUCCCCGAAAGGGGUGCUAAUACCAGAUAAUGUCUUCGGACCAAAGAUUUAUCGCCUUUGGAUGGGCCCGCGUUGGAUUAGCUAGUUGGUAGGGUAAAAGCCUACCAAGGCGACGAUCCAUAGCUGGUCUGAGAGGAUGAUCAGCCACACUGGGACUGAGACACGGCCCAGACUCCUACGCGAGGCAGCAGUGGGGAAUAUUGGACAAUGGGCGAAAGCCUGAUCCAGCAACGCCGCGUGAGUGAUGAAGGCCUUAGGAUUGUAAAGCUGUUUUACCCGGGAUGAUAAUGACAGUACCGGGAGAAUAAGCUCCGGCUAACUCCGUG